RNAcentral lists this unclassified non-coding RNA (345 nucleotides) under soil metagenome. RNAcentral's name for it is "partial contains 5.8S ribosomal RNA, internal transcribed spacer 2, and large subunit ribosomal RNA". The stretch from base 1 to 120 matches the Rfam family "5.8S ribosomal RNA", at positions 35 to 154 of the family's 154-position model. The record is from RNAcentral.
GAUGAAGAACGUAGCGAAAUGCGAUAAGUAGUGUGAAUUGCAGAAUUCAGUGAAUCAUCGAAUCUUUGAACGCACAUUGCGCCCUUUGGUAUUCCUUAGGGCAUGCCUGUUCGAGCGUCAUUUCAACCCUCAAGCCCUGCUUGGUGUUGGGCGUUUGACCUGCCUCCGCGCGGGACUCGCCUCAAAGACAUUGGCGGCCGGUUUCCCUUUGCAGGCCACGAGCGCAGCACAGCGAGCGCUCUACGUGGACGCGGGGUCGGCGCACCAGAAGCCCUCUUUCUCGAAUUUUGACCUCGGAUCAGGUAGGGAUACCCGCUGAACUUAAGCAUAUCAAUAAGCGGAGGA